Schizosaccharomyces pombe (fission yeast) is the source of this 601-nucleotide non-coding RNA. The record is from the annotation of a GenBank genome assembly. Lineage: Eukaryota; Fungi; Ascomycota; Schizosaccharomycetes; Schizosaccharomycetales; Schizosaccharomycetaceae.
UUAGUUGAUAUAUGUUAUGUGCAACUAUGAUUUGUGCUAGUUGAUAAAUUGCUAUUAAAGGAAUCUCUGGAAUCGCUUUGAUAAUGUUUUGUCGUUCGAUCGGCUCCUCAUCCUUGUUAUGACGGUUGUUUUUCUUCUUUUUCCUUUUCUUUUGUUUCGUCCGGCCUAUCCAUAGUGUCCUGCGACGAUCCCGUUCGGAUACAUGGAAGUAGUUUAAUAUUCGUAUGUGAAAGGAAGGCAGGGAGAGAGAGAAGGAGGGAGAAAAGAAGGAAGAGAGAGAGAAGAGAAAGAGACAUGCAAAAAAGAGGAUAUUCAUUUAAUUUUCCUUUUUUUUUUUUUUUUUUUUUUUUUUUUUUUAAUUUCUUUCUUUUUUUUUUCUUUUCUCUCUCUUUAAUCUUCUCUCCUCUCUCUUUUCUCUCCAUCGUUCUUUCAUCUAAUCAGCUCUGCCCUUGUUUAUCAUCUCUAAUAAAUUCUUUGAUCUUUAAUUUGUCAAACGCUAACAUGAUGAAUCAUUCAUCUCUACCUUGAUUUGACUUUUCUUCCCCUGUUUUUUUAAAUUUUAUUUGUAAUUUUCCACUUCCCUAUCUGCUUGUUUGUUUGU